This 460-nucleotide ribosomal RNA is filed under the name uncultured bacterium. RNAcentral describes it as "partial 16S ribosomal RNA". It matches the Rfam family "Bacterial small subunit ribosomal RNA", at positions 338 to 795 of the family's 1533-position model. The record is from RNAcentral.
CCUACGGGGCGCAGCAGUGAGGAAUAUUGGUCAAUGGACGAGAGUCUGAACCAGCCAAGUAGCGUGAAGGAUGACUGCCCUAUGGGUUGUAAACUUCUUUUAUAAAGGAAUAAAACGAGGCACGUGUGCCUUUUUGCAUGUACUUUAUGAAUAAGGAUCGUCUAACUCCGUGCCAGCAGCCGCGGUAAUACGGAGGAUCCGAGCGUUAUCCGGAUUUAUUGGGUUUAAAGGGAGCGUAGAUGGGUUGUUAAGUCAGUUGUUAAAGUUUGCGGCUCAACCGUAAAAUUGCAAUUGAUACUGGCAGUCUUGAGUACAGUUGAGGUAGGCGGAAUUCGUGGUGUAGCGGUGAAAUGCUUAGAUAUCACGAAGAACCCCGAUUGCGAAGGCAGCUUACUAAACUGUGACUGACAUUGAUGCUCGAAAGUGUGGGUAUCAAACAGGAUUAGAUACCCGAGUAGUC